Molecule: long non-coding RNA, 1197 nt
Organism: Rosa chinensis
Lineage: Eukaryota; Viridiplantae; Streptophyta; Magnoliopsida; Rosales; Rosaceae
Exons: 6
Source: RefSeq, a predicted model, not a curated record
UUGAAGUUGGUUUGUGUCUGUUGCCAAAUGUGUGCUUAGGAAAAAGCAUGAAAUAUAGUGAAAGAUUCCAUUUUUAUGAAAUUUUAGGAAUAAUAUCCUCGUUAGGUUGAUGAUAGGUGCAUUUGACAGAAACAGAAAGCUAUUAGGAACACAUGUCAUUUUGCAUUUAGAGGAUGAUAAAGACUUUCCAAGCCUGAUGCUGAACCCUUCCUACUAACUCCUUGUUGCAUUUAUCUGCUAAUCGAGGGAGGCUUAAACCUGGAGUAAUUUUGGAGCAGCUCCUAAUGGUCGGUUUGGAGGAAGAGCUAUAGGUACUCAACUGAAUUUGCAGAAUCAACUAAUCAAGGCCCCUAAUUUUCAUGGUGUAAAGUGAUUUUCUCAGCAUACCUUGAACUAUCUUGGAGAUUUGGCUGCUUAUGUUAUGUGUUGAUGGUUAACAGCUUACACCCUAAAUUAAAAGUUGUUAGCUAUUUUGUACUCAUAUGCUGAAGGUUUUUAAUCGAGCUGAGGCGUUUGACGACCAUACCUCCAAUACUAAGGUACAUUAAGUUCAUUCCUUGUUUGAUUAUGGUGGUUCUUCUUCUUCCAAGGCUUUUCCGAACCCAAAGCAUUCUUGAUUAUGAUCUGUAUACUUACAAAUUCGGAACAAUAUUGGGCUGCGAUCCAAGACCCAGAGGGAUGUCAUUAAAGGUUUGACGAAUCUGUGAAUGUCAAGCAGCUUGAGAACAUAUUGUGAUCCAUGUCAACUUCCACUAUCGGAUAGCCUAUCUGCAGCAAAGCGCGGGCACGCUUUCUAGUUUUCUUUUGUUCUUUGGUUGAUGAUAAGUGUUGUUCAAUUGAUCAAACAUGUUUAUCAGCUAUAUAUGUAUUUGAAUAUGGUAUUCAUGUUUUGGUGCAUUUUAUAUAAAAUUUAUUAUUUGGCUUCUUCUGCUCCAAAGAUAAAAAUCUGGUAUGCAAAAUUGCAUGCCAGGUUUUUUUUUAUCAAUGAUAUGCACUUUGCGACGGCAUUGUUGCCGUCGCCAAAGACCUGACUGCAAAAUUGUAGAUGGCGUAGCCAUUGCUCUUUGCGACGGCAUAAAUACCGUCGCCAAAAUUCAUGCGACAGCGUAAUUGCCGUCUCAAAUAGCAAUGGCGACGCCACCAACGACAUCGGCGACAUUGCCGUCGCCUAGCCGUCGCCGUUGGUCUUUUGCAACG